This 352-nucleotide unclassified non-coding RNA is filed under the name plant metagenome. RNAcentral's name for it is "partial contains small subunit ribosomal RNA, internal transcribed spacer 1, and 5.8S ribosomal RNA". The record is from RNAcentral.
UUUCCGUAGGUGAACCUGCGGAAGGAUCAUUAUAAAUGAAAAACGAAUAACUUCAGGGAAGAAGGGAACCUGCACGGUGACCUCCCCUGUCGGGCCACCCAAUACCUUCAAAAUGCCGCCGUCCUAGCGGUGGCAGACGAAAAAAAAACAAGAGAAACAAAAUAGAAACAGGCACGGUGGCCCGUUCACCUUCACACAACCCUCCGAGUACCGCUUCCAUGUUGCUUCCCCGCAAAUCCACCUCUUUGGUGAGCGCGGGGGUGGUCCGCAUCAAAUUCAUCUGAAUGUCACAGCAGUCAGACAGCCAUUCAUGGAAACAAUAAAACUUUCAACAACGGAUCUCUUGGUUCCC